Molecule: ribosomal RNA, 497 nt
Filed under: uncultured bacterium
Lineage: Bacteria
Description: bacterial SSU rRNA
Rfam family: Bacterial small subunit ribosomal RNA
Source: RNAcentral
GGUCAGGACGAACGCUGGCGGCGUGCCUAACACAUGCAAGUCGAGCGGAGUCAGUAAGAGGAAGUUUCGGAUGGAAUCUGUUGAUUAGCGGCGGACGGGUGAGUAACGCGUGAGCGACCAACCUUGCACAGGGGGAUAACGGACCGAAAGGUUCACUAAUACCGCAUGAGACCACGGUGUUGCAUGACACAGAGGUCAAAGGAGCAAUCCGGUGCAAGACGGGCUCGCGUCCGAUUAGGUAGUUGGAGGGGUAACGGCCCACCAAGCCUAUGAUCGGUAGCCGACCUGAGAGGGUGAUCGGCCACAUUGGAACUGAGAUACGGUCCAAACUCCUACGGGAGGCAGCAGUGGGGAAUAUUGGGCAAUGGGGGGAAACCCUGACCCAGCAACGCCGCGUGAAGGAAGAAGGUUUUCGGAUUGUAAACUUCUGUCCUUGGUGAAGAGAAGAAGACGGUAGCCAAGGAGGAAGCCCCGGCUAACUACGUGCCAGCCGCAGC